AACGGUCUAUACCUGCGGUACCUGCGGAAGGAUCAUUACCGAGUUAUCAACUCCCAAACCCCUGUGAACAUACCCGAACGUUGCCUCGGCGGGACCGCCCCGGCGCCCCUAGCGGCCCGGAACCAGGCGCCCGCCGGAGGACCCAAACUCUUGCUUUAAACAGUGGCAUACUCUCUGAGUCUCACAAACAAAAGAUAAAUCAAAACUUUUAACAAUGGAUCUCUAGAUCGGAAGAGCACA
Molecule: unclassified non-coding RNA, 240 nt
Filed under: soil metagenome
Description: partial contains 5.8S ribosomal RNA, internal transcribed spacer 2, and large subunit ribosomal RNA
Source: RNAcentral